GACGUAGGGCGCAAGCGUUUGUCCGGAUUAUUGGGCGUAAAGAGCUCGUAGGCGGCUUGUCGCGUCGACUGUGAAAAACCACGACUCAACCGUGGGACUGCAGUCGAUGACGGGCAGGGCUAGAGUUCGGUAGGGGAGACUGGAAUUCCUGGUGUAGCGGUGAAAUGCGCAGAUAUCAGGAGGAACACCGGUGGCGAAGCGGCCUGCUGGGCAGUUGCUGACACUGAGGCGACGACAGCGUGGGGAGCAAACAGG
RNAcentral lists this ribosomal RNA (255 nucleotides) under uncultured bacterium. RNAcentral's name for it is "partial 16S ribosomal RNA". It matches the Rfam family "Bacterial small subunit ribosomal RNA", at positions 524 to 776 of the family's 1533-position model. The record is from RNAcentral.